Molecule: ribosomal RNA, 442 nt
Filed under: uncultured bacterium
Lineage: Bacteria
Description: partial 16S ribosomal RNA
Rfam family: Bacterial small subunit ribosomal RNA
Source: RNAcentral
CCUACGGGAGGCAGCAGUGGGGAAUAUUUGGCAAUGGGCGAAAGCCUGACCCAGCAACGCCGCGUGAAGGAAGAAGGCUUUCGGGUUGUAAACUUCUUGUGACAGGGAAGAGCAGAAGACGGUACCUGUCGAAUAAGCCACGGCUAAAUACGUGCCAGCAUCCGCGGUAAUACGUAGGUGGCAAGCGUUGUACGGAUUUACUGGGUGUAAAGGGCGGGUAGCCGGGCUGACAGGUCAGAUGUGAAAGCUGGGGGCUCAACCCCCGAACUGCAUUUGAAACUGGUGGUAUUGAGGAUCUGAGAGGCAGGCGGAAUUCCUAGUGUAGCGGGGAAAUGCGUAGAUAUUAGGAGGGACACCAGUGGCGAAGGCGGCCGGCUGGUCGACAACUGACGGUGAGGCGCGAAAGCGUGGGGAGCAAACAGGAUUAGAUACCCCAGUAGUC